AAUACGAAGGGACCUAGCGUAGUUCGGAAUUACUGGGCUUAAAGAGUUCGUAGGUGGUUGAAAAAGUUGGUGGUGAGAGCCCAGAGCUUAACUCUGGAACUGCCAUCAAAACUUUUCAGCUAGAGUAUGAUAGAGGAAAGCAGAAUUUCUAGUGUAGAGGUGAAAUUCGUAGAUAUUAGAAAGAAUACCAAUUGCGAAGGCAGCUUUCUGGAUCAUUACUGACACUGAGGAACGAAAGCAUGGGYAGCGAAGAGGAUUAGAUACCCUCGUAGUCCAUGCCGUAAACGAUGUGUGUUAGACGUUGGAAAUUUAUUUUCAGUGUCGCAGCGAAAGCGAUAAACACACCGCCUGGGGAGUACGACCGCAAGGUUAAAACUCAAAUGAAUUGACGGGGACCCGCACAAGUAGUGGAGCAUGUGGUUUAAUUCGAAGAUACGCGCAGAACCUUACCAACACUUGACAUGUUCGUCGCGACUUUAAGAGAUUAAAGUUUUCGGUUCGGCCGGACGAAACACAGGUGCUGCAUGGCUGUCGUCAGCUCGUGUCGUGAGAUGUUGGGUUAAGUCCCGCAACGAGCGCAACCCUCACUUUUAGUUGCCAUCAUUAAGUUGGGCACUCUGAAAGAACUGCCAGUGAUAAGCUGGAGGAAGGUGGGGAUGACGUCAAGUCCUCAUGGCCCUUACGUGUUGGGCUACACACGUGCUACAAUGGUAUCUACAACAGGAAGCAAGACGGCGACGUUAAGCAAAUCCUUAAAAGAUACCUCAGUUCGGAUUGCACUCUGCAACUCGAGUGCAUGAAGCUGGAAUUACUAGUAAUCGUGGAUCAGCGUGCCACGGUGAAUGCGUUCCCGGGUCUUGUACACACCGCCCGUCACACCAUGGGAGUUGGUUCUACCUUAAGGCAUGGUUUCAAACCCUUGACCACGGUAUAGUCAGC
This 939-nucleotide ribosomal RNA is filed under the name uncultured bacterium. Its description in RNAcentral is "bacterial SSU rRNA". It matches the Rfam family "Bacterial small subunit ribosomal RNA", at positions 522 to 1472 of the family's 1533-position model. The record is from RNAcentral.